RNAcentral lists this transfer RNA (81 nucleotides) under Phycisphaerae bacterium RAS2. RNAcentral's name for it is "tRNA-Cys". The record is from RNAcentral. Lineage: Bacteria; Pseudomonadati; Planctomycetota; Phycisphaerae.
CGCAGGGUUCGCCGUCGGGCCGCACGGCCGAGCCGUUGCAGAUGGCGCAGGACAUGUCGAGUUCGAAGCCCGGUUCGACGA